AUUCUGCCCAUGCGGGGAAGGAUGAGAAGCUUCGACUAAGGUUCGACUCGAGCGCCAGCGAGAGAGCGUUGCCGCAGGCAACGACCCGUAGGGCGAAGCGCGCAGCGCUGAGUAAUCCUUCCCC
Molecule: small RNA, 124 nt
Filed under: Escherichia coli
Lineage: Bacteria; Pseudomonadati; Pseudomonadota; Gammaproteobacteria; Enterobacterales; Enterobacteriaceae
Description: partial RtT sRNA
Rfam family: RtT RNA
About the family: This family represents a bacterial cis-regulatory element known as RtT RNA. The exact function of RtT is unknown although it is thought that it may be involved in changing the cellular response in relation to amino acid starvation.
Source: RNAcentral